RNAcentral lists this transfer RNA (85 nucleotides) under Ackermannviridae sp. RNAcentral describes it as "tRNA-Pro". It matches the Rfam family "tRNA". From Rfam's summary of the family: Transfer RNA (tRNA) molecules are approximately 80 nucleotides in length. The record is from RNAcentral. Lineage: Duplodnaviria; Heunggongvirae; Uroviricota; Caudoviricetes; Pantevenvirales; Ackermannviridae.
GCCAACAUAGCUUAAUUGGUAAAGCCGGGCCUCAGGACAGCAUAGCUGCUGGCUUAGUUGUGGGUUCAAGUCCCGCUGUUGGCUA